This 510-nucleotide ribosomal RNA is filed under the name Parasovia perbella. RNAcentral's name for it is "partial 16S ribosomal RNA". The stretch from base 383 to 510 matches the Rfam family "Bacterial large subunit ribosomal RNA", at positions 2473 to 2600 of the family's 2925-position model. Lineage: Eukaryota; Metazoa; Arthropoda; Insecta; Lepidoptera; Hesperiidae. The record is from RNAcentral.
UUUUUGAUAAUAAUUUAAAGUCAAAUCUGCCCACUGAUUUUAUUAAAGGGCUGCAGUAAAUUGACUGUACAAAGGUAGCAUAAUCAUUAGUCUUUUAAUUGAAGACUUGUAUGAAUGAUUUGAUGAAAUAUAAACUGUCUCUUUUUUAAAAUUAGAAUUUAAUUUUUUAGUAAAAAAGCUAAAAUUAUUUUAAAAGACGAGAAGACCCUAUAGAGUUUUAUAAUUAAUUUAUUUAUAAUUUUUUUAUUUUUGUUAUAAUAAAAAUUAAAUUAAUUAUUUUAUUGGGGUGAUAAAAAAAUAAAAUGAACUUUUUUUUAAAAAAAACAUUAAUUAAUGAAAAUAUGAUCCAUAAUUUAUGAUUAUAAGAAAAAAUUACCUUAGGGAUAACAGCGUAAUUUUUUUUUUUAGUUCAUAUAAAAAAAAAAGUUUGCGACCUCGAUGUUGGAUUAAGAUAAAAUUUAAAUGUAGAAGUUUAAAAUUUUUGAUCUGUUCGAUCAUUAAAAUCUUACA